RNAcentral lists this ribosomal RNA (351 nucleotides) under uncultured bacterium. Its description in RNAcentral is "bacterial SSU rRNA". It matches the Rfam family "Bacterial small subunit ribosomal RNA", at positions 1208 to 1533 of the family's 1533-position model. The record is from RNAcentral.
UCAGGGCUACACACGUGCUACAAUGGUCGACACAAAGGGCAGCAAGUCCGCGAGGAGGAGCGAAUCCCAAAAAGUCGAUCUAAGUUCGGAUUGCAGUCUGCAACUCGACUGCAUGAAGUCGGAAUCGCUAGUAAUUCGUGAAUCAGCCACGUCACGGUGNAUACGUUCCCGGGCCUUGUACACACCGCCCGUCACGCCAUGGAAGCCGGGAGUGCCCGAAGUCCGUGACCCAACCUCCGGGAGGGAGCGGCCGAAGGCAAGUUUGGUAACUGGGGCGAAGUCGUAACAAGGUAGCCGUAGGGGACACCUGCGGCUGGAUCACCUCCUUAAGCUUGGCAUCCCGAAGGGCGC